RNA transcript from Hyla sarda, 2356 nucleotides. RefSeq lists it as uncharacterized. The record is from RefSeq and is a predicted model, not a curated record. Lineage: Eukaryota; Metazoa; Chordata; Amphibia; Anura; Hylidae. The transcript is spliced from 8 exons.
AAGGCUCCUCCCCACCCAGGCUGCAGCUUCUCCGGAUGAACAUUACAGCAGAGAUCUGAUAGAAACACCCCAGAGCAGCCAGGAUCUUGUGCUCUGAGGUCAUGGGCGUGUUAGGUCACAUGUCCUGUCACAUGACAGUUUCCCUGUUGCUGGGGUAUGUGCGUCUCUGACCCAGACUUUACCCUGAGGUGGAUUACAGGUUACCAAGUAUGUGGUGUGAGGUAAUACUCCCGUAUACAUAUAAUUAUGUGACCUUCUGCUACGUUGACUACGCCUCUGCCUCAUCCUCUGGUACCUCGCCUUGCCCAGUUACCUGUGUGGUCGUGGAUGUCGCCUGCCGCAGCAAAUCCAUCCUUCUUUGCGGCGGGCUCUGGUGAAGACCAGCAGCACCUUAGACUCUGCUCCCCGAUACGGUUCGAGUCAUCAGCCACGUAGGUAGAGGAUCCACAUCCAGUUCGUGACAGCCCCGCAUACAGAAGACAAGAAAUUAUAAAGUUAUCAUCUGCCUGUUUAGAGAAGAGGUGACCCCUAUCCAACAGCACAUAGAGUCAUCAGUUCAACUGGGUGACCUCCAGCACCAGCAGCCUCAUUAGAUGACCAGGUGCAGUGAUCAGACUCCACCCCCUCUCUCUGCAAAGCCAGAGGAUUCAUGGGAAAUGUAGGCAGCAUUAGGAAAUUAUUUCAGUAAUGGAAUUGCAAUCAAUAUGGCUGAAAACCAUGCCUGCCACAUCAGGUAAAACAGGCUGCUUUUACAUUACGGCUGAUGAAUCUGGCUGGAAAAUUUCAAAACGGGAGCUCCUGUAUCCCAGUCGGACCGAUGCCAACCAGAGUCAGAUAGUUACUCUGGUCAAUCAAAAACGAAAAGGUCCGGUGCUUGAGUCGGUGAAUUCAAGAGGAUUUAUUUGCAGAUUAAAUACAGUAUAGAUGGUUAUUCUGAGCAGAUUCCUGUGACUUCCCACAAGCUGGUGCACGUACAAAGUAUAAAGAGCAGUAAUGUGAUGUAUACACGACUGCUACUCGCAUGACAGAUGAGCAAGGUGCUUAUGAGUGGAUGAUCCUCCAAAGUGAAAACAUCAGAUCUAUAGACGGUGAUAGAGUGUCAGCUGCUGUAAAUUUCACUCAUGUAUCUGGAGGACAAGGAAGAAACAUAGUCAGGAACCGGAACAACCAAAAUGUAACCCAAAUGUAGAAGGAACUGGAAGCCAGGAAGAAACAACCUUGAUCACCAGAUAUGUGCCAGUCAGAAGGCUAGAAAAUAUCCUGUGCCACUUGGAGGCCUCAUCUAGAGCAACUGUAGAAUCUGGAACUUGGACUAAUGUGACAUCAUCAUCAACUCAACUAUUAUUAUAUCAAACCACAAGGAUCAUCUCCAUGGUACACCAAACCUUUCACCCAAUGUGGUUACUACUCACACGCAAACACGUCAACCCUCCUUGUCAGCCGCGCUAAGCCCCUGUACACAUGACGCAACCACAACCUGGGCCACAGGAUCUUCUACAAACCUUCCUAAGUAUUGUCUGAUGUCUCCUCCAAAUCUCUAGUGGUGAAGACACCACAGCUCCGUACUGUAGUACAAAGUGUUAGACCUCAGGGCUGUGUGAUACAUCCUGCUGUGCAGGUGUAUCUAAGCGUAUUGUGUGUGGACUGUCCGCUGAGCUGCUGUGUCUAAGCCUAUCAUGUGUUAUACUCAAUGCUGUGUAUCUAAGCCUAUCAUAUACUGUAUGAUACUGUAUGGCCAGCCACUAUCUCUAAGUUUAUCACGUGUGAAACCAUCUGUUUUGUAUCUAAGCCCUUAGUGUGAUAUUGUUUGGUAAACCGCUGCAUCGAAGCCUGUCCAUGUGUACUAAUGACUGCAGAGGUGUCGUAUCUAAACCUUGUGAUACUGUCUGCUGAGAUGCUGCAUCAACGUUUGCCAUGUGUUAUACUGUGUUGUGUACAUAAGCCUUUAUUGUGAUACUGUCAGCUGAACUGCUGUACCUAAGCCAGACAUUUAAUGAAUCACUGUAUCUAAGCCUAUUGUGGUGGCCCAGUACAGGAGUUGCACCCCUGUACCCUUGUUGCCCUGUCAGGCAGACUCCAUUCGGUGACCCCUGAGCCCCCCUUCACCUAUGUGCCCUAACUAGUUAAGCAGUGCCUAUGUUAUGUAUUGUAAUGUACAUAUAUUGUUAUACACCUUUAAGUAAUGUUGCUAUGUGUUGUAACCAAGGAAGGUAUCAGUGACCUACAGGGUGACCUAUGGGACCCCUCCAGAUUCUCCCCCAUAUAAGCCCUGGGUGAUACAUCCUGCUGUGCAGGUGUAUCUAAGCGUAUUGUGUGUGGACUGUCCACUGAGCUGUCUCUUGUGCUCUUCUCUACC